RNAcentral lists this ribosomal RNA (347 nucleotides) under uncultured archaeon. RNAcentral describes it as "partial 16S ribosomal RNA". The record is from RNAcentral.
GGAAUAAUUGGGGAGUGGGAGUAAAAUAUUAUUCUUGUAGUGCCACCACCUGCCGCGAAGGUGAAAGUAUCAAAAAGGACCAGUAAUAAAGGAAGAGAGGUAGGGGAGCGGAAAAGAUUAGAUUACCAUGUAGUCCCAGCAAAAUUAAUAUAUUUAGUUAUGAGGUAAGUGCAACGUUUAGGUACGAAAAGAAAAAAAAAAAAAACCCCCCCGGGAGGGACGCUUUCAAGAAGAAAAAAAUAAAAGUAUUGGGGGGGGCACCACCUUCUUUUUCCCCUCUUUUUUUUUUUAUUCAAAACGGGGAUUUCCCUCAAAAAUCCACACAAAUAAACGACGGGGUUGAUAUC